GUGCCAGCAGCCGCGGUAAUACGUAGGUGGCAAGCGUUGUCCGGAUUUAUUGGGUUUAAAGGGUGCGUAGGCGGUGACCUAAGUCAGUUGUGAAAUACUUCAGCUUAACUGGAGAGGUGCAAUUGAUACUGGGUUACUUGAGUACUGAUGAGGUAUGCGGAAUGGACGGUGUAGCGGUGAAAUGCUUAGAUAUCGUCCAGAACACCGAUAGCGAAGGCAGCAUACUAAGGAGUAACUGACGCUGAGGCACGAAAGUGUGGGGAUCAAACAGGAUUAGAAACCCGCGUAGUCC
Molecule: ribosomal RNA, 292 nt
Filed under: uncultured bacterium
Lineage: Bacteria
Description: partial 16S ribosomal RNA
Rfam family: Bacterial small subunit ribosomal RNA
Source: RNAcentral